Molecule: long non-coding RNA, 5542 nt
Filed under: Olea europaea (common olive)
Lineage: Eukaryota; Viridiplantae; Streptophyta; Magnoliopsida; Lamiales; Oleaceae
Description: long non-coding RNA (OEUR_LNC002813)
Source: RNAcentral
CCCACUUGAAUCCUCCAUCCAAUGGUAAGUAAUUGGACACUUGUUAAAAUCUGGCAGCAUUCUUUUAAAAUAACAGAAACGUGUUUUCGGUAGCUUACGUUUUUGGCAAAGUAAAGCAGCAACUCUCCAAAUUAAUUACAAGAUCCGGCCCAAUUAGCAGGUUUAUUCCAGCAGCUAAUUACUUCGAGCAGCCCAUCAUUGUGCCAUUUUCUCUACAUUCUCCACCUUGGUACAAUGAUUCCAAUAUCAUCUAUGGUGAUCUCUUCGAACAUGACAUCAUGUGCUCUUAUUCCCUGAUACACAAAUCAGCAAAAGUUAAUAUUCAGCUGUUUUAAACAGUUCAAAAACUUGUUUAAAGGCAGCACUUUCGUUCCAACAUCAGCAAGAUUAAAAUGGGUAGAAAUCUUUUCAAGUUUAACAACACCUUGAGAAAUUACAUUUCUAAUAAAAUGAAAUUUCACAUCAACAUGUUUAGAUCUAUUGUGUAACACAGGAUUUCUACUCAAAUAUAUAACAGAUUGACUACCAGAAUGUAAGACAACAUCAUUUAUGAAACCAAAUUCAUUUAGAAGUCCUUUUAGCCAAAUUCCCUCUUUAAUUGCAUCAGUAGCAGCUAUAUAUUCUGCUUCAGUUAAAGAUAAUGCAACAAUCUUUUGUAAUUAUGAUUUCCAACUUAUACAGGAAUUACAUAAAGUGUAUACAUAGGUAGAAGUCGAUUUUCUGUUAUCCCUAUCACCUGCAUAAUCAGAAUCAGUGAAACCCCUCAAGAUAACACCCUCAGAUUGUUUUCUAUACUCAAUUCCUAGGUCACAAGUUCCCUUAAUGUAUCUUAGAAGCCACUUCACCGCUUCCCAAUGAACCUCCCCAGGAUUAGACAUGUAUCUACUCAAUACACUUAUUGCAAAUGCCAAAUCAGGUCUAGAACAAAUCAUUAGAUACAUAACUGACCCCACAGCAUUAGAAUAUGGCACUCUAGCCAUUCUUUUAAACUCUUCUUCAGUUUUAGGACAUUGAUCAUUAGAUAAUUUGAAGUGAUUAGCUAAAGGUAGACUCACACUUUUAGCAUCGGACAUUGCAAAUCUUUCAAGUAUUUUCAAAGCAUAAGAUUUUUGAUUUAGGCUUAGUGUGCCCUCUCUUCUAUUUCUUUUAAUUUCGAUACCCAAGAUUUUUCUAACAGGACCUAAAUCCUUCAUUUCAAAUUCAGAUUUUAAUUUGUCUUUUAUUGAUUCUAUUUCCUUUAUGUCAUGACUUGCUAAAAGCAUGUCAUCCACAUAAAGUAGAAGAUAGAGUGAAUUCUCACCUCCAUUUCCUUUACAAUAAAGACAAGUAUCGAAAUUACUUCUUUUAAAACCAAGUCCAAGCACAAAAGUGUCAAAUCUCUUGUACCAUUGUCUUGGAGCUUGUUUUAAACCAUAAAGUGACUUUUUAAGAAGGCAUACUAAGUCUGAAUUUUUAUUCACUUCAAAGCCUUUAGGUUGUUCCAUAAAAAUAGUCUCUUCAAGAUCUCCAUUUAAAAACGUAGUUGUUACAUCUAAUUGAUCUAAUUCCCAAUUAAAUUGAGCUGCUAGGGUGAGUAUAACUCUAACAGUUGUAAAUUUUACAACGGGGGAAAAUAUUUCAUUAAAGUCUAUCCCCUCCUUUUGAGCAAAACCCUUAGCCACAAGUCUUGUCUUGUAUCUAAUGUCAUUCUCAUCUUUUUCACCUCUUUUGAUCUUAUAGAUCCACUUACAAUCUAUAACUCUCUUUCCCUUAGGUCUUUUAACCAAGGUCCAAGUUUUAUUCUUUCUCAACGAUUCCAUCUCAUCAUGCAUUGCUUCUAGCCAAUGCUUAGAGUCCUUGCUACUCAUAGCAUAUUUAUAAGACUCAGGUUCAUUUUCAAUGAACCCCAGAACAGUGAGAAGGGAUAUUUCAUCAUCAAAUCUCACAGGUGGUCUUAUUUCUCUCCUUUCUUUAUCUCUAGCAAGUUGAUAAUCAUUUAAGGGUUGAUUAACCUCAAAAUCAGAUUCAUUUUGAUCAGUUUCUUCAUCAUUUUGAGCCUCAAUUUCACUGUUUUCAAUCUGAUCAUGUUGUAGAUUAUCAUUAUUAACUUACUCCACCUCAAUUUCAAUUUCCCUUCCUUCAUUUUUAGUCUGACCAGAUUUAGUAGUGUUAUUUUCAGAUUUCAAACAAGGCAGAUCAGAUUCAUUAAACACCACAUUUCUACUUAUAAUGAUCUUAUAACCUUUGGUCUCUCUUACCCAAAGUCUAUACCCCUUCACCAUAGCCCAAAAAAACACACUUAAGGGCCCUAGGUUCAAGUUUUCCUUCAGAUUGAUGUGCAAAGGCUGCACACCCAAAUAUUUUUAGAUUACUCAAAUUUACAGGUUUUCCUGUCCAAACUUCUUCAGGGGAUUUAAAUUGUAUAGCACUGGCGGGGCUUCUAUUUAUGAGAUGACUAGCAGUUUUUGUAGCUUCCCCCCAAAAUAACUUGGGAAGACCAGAACCUAAUAACAUGCAUCUAACUCUCUCAAGAAUAGUUCGGUUCAUUCUUUCAGCCAAGUCAUUUUGUUGUGGGGUGUGUGCCACUGUUCUGUGUCUUAGAAUACCAUGCACUUUGCACAAUUCAUCAAAUUCGUAAUUGCAAAACUCAAGCCCAUUAUCAGUCCUCAACACUUUAAUCUUUUUAUUUGUUUGAUUCUCAAUCAAGAUUUUCCAUUCUUUAAAAUCAUUAAAAGUGUCAGACUUAUGUUUAAGUAGAAAGAGCCAGUUUUUCCUAGAAAAAUGAUCUAUGAUUAAAAGGAAAAAUCUGAAACCAGUAUGUGUGGGCACAGAAGCUGGUCCCCAAAGAUCAGCAUGCAAAUAUUCAAGAAUAGACACAGAUUUAUGCAUCCCAGGCAGAAAUGGUAAUCUAUUUUGCUUUCCUAGUAUGCAAUGAUCACAAAAACUGAGUUUCUCCAUUAUAUCUUUACCAAAGGCACCUUGUUUUUUCAAAAUUUGAAGAUCAUUGUCACUAUUAUGGCCCAAUCUUUUAUGCCAUAAUUGUGACUUAUCAUUGGGGGCAGAAAUUGCUGUUGAUGUGGAGUCAAAAAAGUUUUGAGUAUGUAAAAUGUAAAACCCGUGUCUCUUGGGGGCUUCGGCAACAAGUUGAGAGCCCCUCAAGAUCUUAAUGUAUCCCAUGUUAAUCACAAUUUUGUAGUUCAAGUCAUCUAGAACACCUAAGGAUAUCAAAUUUCUUUGUAGGUCAGGAACAUACCUGGUCUUAUCUAAAAUCAAUUCAUUAUUACCAUCCAACCUUAAGGUGAUUGUUCCUAUUCCUUUAACCUGACAAGACAUGUGACUACCCAUUAACACUUGGCCUCCAUUUACAUUUUCAAACUCACUAAACCAUUCUCUUUUAGGACACAUAUGAAAGGUGCAACCAGAGUCAAGAAUCCACUCCUGACUAGGUGGACUGUGUACAGCAACAUAAACCUCAUCUAUGUUGGUCUCAUUAUUAUAGGCUAAAGCACCACCACCAUCAUUAUUAGACUUAUUUCUCAAAUCAUUAAGUCUCUUUCGACAAUCUUUGAUAAAAUGACCUUCACCUAAACAGUAAAAACACUUUUUACCCUUAGUCUUGGUUUUCAUUUUAUCUUUAAAGUUGACCUUCUUUUUGUGUCCAGGUUGCUUAUUGAAAUUGACAACUUUUGGAUUUGUGUUUGGUUUGGACUUAACCAUCAAAUUUUCACCACUAACAGAUUCCCUCUUGUCAGAUUUUAACUCUAACUCUUUAUUUCUCAAUGCAUUUAUUAUCACAUCAGUAGUUAGAGUCUCCUUUCCAUAUUCAAUAGCAUUUUUGACAUCUUUAUAUUUAUCACUUAGUGAAUUUAACAAAACCACAACCAGCUGCUCUUUUGAGAGUUUCUCAUCACAGUCGGCUAGGUCACGGGAUAAUCUGUUGAAUCUAUCAAUGUUAGCGUCAAGAUCAAGAGAUGGGUCCAAUUUGAAACCAAAAAUUGAUUUAGAAAAUACACUUUAUUAGGCAUGGUUUUAUUCAAAUAAGUAUCUUCCAAUUUUUUCCACAACUCAGCAGCAGUUUUUGUCUCACCAAUUUCUCUCAACACAUUGUUAGAUAAAUGCAAUAAUAUAGAACUCCAUGCAAUUUCAUCAAGUUCAGUUUUCUUAAUUUCUUCCAUAUCAUUAGGCCAUGACUCAUCAAUGGCUUUAGCACAUUUUUGUUGAAGCAAAAGGGCUCGCAUUUUCUGGCGCCAGAGACUAAAGUCUUCUUUACCAUUAAAAAUCUCCAAUUCAACUUUAGUUGACAUUAUCAAAACUCAAUUUGAUAAAAAAAAAAAUGCAGGCAGAUCACAUACAAAUUCAACAGUAUAUUCAACUUGCAGGAACUCAAAUGUCAUAUACCAUAAUCAAAUUUAAAGUGCACAGUUAACAAGUGAGUUAUACAAUACAGAUUAUGCAGUAAGAUCUCAUCAGUCCAUUCACCUCAUGAAUAAGCAGUUUACACAAAAACCAGCAGUGUCAAGUCACAAGUAUAACAUGCCAUAUACAUUAUAAUAAACUCAUGCAGAAAACAUAAAAUUUGUCCAAAAUCGUCAACUUAUAAAUCAAGACAAUUCUUAGAUUCCAGACAACUUACGAUUUCUAGAUAAAGGCAUUGUCAAGAUAAAGUCUCAGAUUUAGGGAUUUUAAGUCAGUUACAAAAGUCUCACAGUAUAGACAAAUAUUAUAUAUGUAACUCGACAAUUAUGAAACGAACUCACCAAAAUCCCUUAUUAGGAUUUCAAGAAAUAAACGAGAUCAACUGAACCANNNNNNNNNNNNNNNNNNNNNNNNNNNNNNNNNNNNNNNNNNNNNNNNNNNNNNNNNNNNNNNNNNNNNNNNNNNNNNNNNNNNNNNNNNNNNNNNNNNNNNNNNNNNNNNNNNNNNNNNNNNNNNNNNNNNNNNNNNNNNNNNNNNNNNNNNNNNNNNNNNNNNNNNNNNNNNNNNNNNNNNNNNNNNNNNNNNNNNNNNNNNNNNNNNNNNNNNNNNNNNNNNNACAACAUUCACUCAAGAAUGAUGAAUCGAAGCCUAUACAAUAAUCACUCAAGAUUAUUUCAACAUAAGCGUCUAUACAUUCGACGAUGGCACAUUCACUCAAGAAUAACACCAAUACACCUUGUUAAAUCACUCAAGAUUAUCUACACAAGGUUGGAUUAAUUUCUCAUCAACAGGGGCUAAUUUUUGGUGUGCAAAAAUUGAUAGAUUGAAGGACCACCGAGAGAGGAGAGAUGAGAGGCAGAGAGGAACUCGUGAGGUGAGAGAAAAUAAGGAAUCUGCUCGUCCAGCCAAGCCCUAGUGCCAAUUAAAUAUGUAUCCCACUUGAAUCCUCCAUCCAAUGGUAAGUAAUUGGACACUUGUUAAAAUCUGGCAGCAUUCUUUUAAAAUAACAGAAACGUGUUUUCGGUAGCUUACGUUUUUGGCAAAGUAAAGCAGCAACUCUCCAAAUUAAUUACAAGAUCCGGCCCAAUUAGCAGGUUUAUUCCAGCAGCUAAUUACUUCGAGCAGCCCAUCAUUGUGCCAUUUUCUC